AUUAGUGGCGAACGGGUGAGUAAUACGUGAGUAACCUGCCCUUGACUCUGGGAUAAGCCUGGGAAACCGGGUCUAAUACUGGAUACUACUUCCUGCCGCAUGGUGGGUGGUGGAAAGGGUUUUACUGGUUUUGGAUGGGCUCACGGCCUAUCAGCUUGUUGGUGGGGUAAUGGCUCACCAAGGCGACGACGGGUAGCCGGCCUGAGAGGGUGACCGGCCACACUGGGACUGAGACACGGCCCAGACUCCUACGGGAGGCAGCAGUGGGGAAUAUUGCACAAUGGGCGGAAGCCUGAUGCAGCGACGCCGCGUGAGGGAUGACGGCCUUCGGGUUGUAAACCUCUUUCAGUAGGGAAGAAGCGAAAGUGACGGUACCUGCGGAAGAAGCGCCGGCUAACUACGUGCCAGCAGCCGCGGUAAUACGUAGGGCGCAAGCGUUGUCCGGAAUUAUUGGGCGUAAAGAGCUCGUAGGCGGUUUGUCGCGUCUGCUGUGAAAGCCCGGGGCUCA
Molecule: ribosomal RNA, 508 nt
Filed under: bacterium EP1.38
Lineage: Bacteria
Description: bacterial SSU rRNA
Rfam family: Bacterial small subunit ribosomal RNA
Source: RNAcentral